RNAcentral lists this ribosomal RNA (514 nucleotides) under uncultured bacterium. RNAcentral's name for it is "bacterial SSU rRNA". It matches the Rfam family "Bacterial small subunit ribosomal RNA", at positions 8 to 507 of the family's 1533-position model. The record is from RNAcentral.
AGAGUUUGAUCCUGGCUCAGAGUGAACGCUGGCGGCAGGCCUAAUACAUGCAAGUCGAACGGCAGCACAGCAGAGCUUGCUCUGGUGGGUGGCGAGUGGCGGACGGGUGAGGAAUACAUGGGAAUCUGCCCAGUCGUGGGGGAUAACGUAGGGAAACUUACGCUAAUACCGCAUGCGCCCUUCGGGGGAAAAGCCGGGGGACCUUCGGGCCUGGCGCGAUUGGAUGAGCCCAUGUCGGAUUAGCUAGUUGGCGGGGUAAUGGCCCACCAAGGCGACGAUCCGUAGCUGGGUCUGAGAGGAUGAUCAGCCACACUGGAACUGAGACACGGUCCAGACUCCUACGGGAGGCAGCAGUAGGGAAUAUUGGACAAUGGGCGCAAGCCUGAUCCAGCCAUGCCGCGUGAGUGAAGAAGGCCCUCGGGUUGUAAAGCUCUUUUGUCCGGAAAGAAAAGCGCCGGGUUAAUACCCUAGUGUCCUGACGGUACCGGAAGAAUAAGCACCGGCUAACUUCGUG